Molecule: ribosomal RNA, 253 nt
Filed under: uncultured bacterium
Lineage: Bacteria
Description: partial 16S ribosomal RNA
Rfam family: Bacterial small subunit ribosomal RNA
Source: RNAcentral
UACGGAGGGUGUUAGCGUUGUUCGGAAUGACUGGGCGUAAAGCGCGCGUAGGCGGAUCAGGAAGUUGGGGGUGAAAUCCCGGGGCUCAACCCCGGAAUGGCCUUCAAAACUCCUGGUCUUGAGUUCGAGAGAGGUGAGUGGAAUUCCGAGUGUAGAGGUGAAAUUCGUAGAUAUUCGGAGGAACACCAGUGGCGAAGGCGGCGCACUGGCUCGACACUGACGCUGAGGUGCGAAAGCGUGGGGAGCAAACAGG